Molecule: non-coding RNA, 138 nt
Organism: Arabis alpina (gray rockcress)
Lineage: Eukaryota; Viridiplantae; Streptophyta; Magnoliopsida; Brassicales; Brassicaceae
Source: Rfam
AAGGCAACUUUUUGCCGAGUGAAUCGAACAUCGAUCUCUCUCUUUUUCCCAGUUGCCUAAAUCAUAUAAUGGUUGUGAGGAAUAACUUGAUCGAUUAAUUGUUUAUAAUAAUCGAUCUUUCUCUUUGCUACCACAUUA